RNAcentral lists this long non-coding RNA (6151 nucleotides) under Lactuca sativa (garden lettuce). RNAcentral's name for it is "long non-coding RNA (LSAT_LNC009618)". The record is from RNAcentral. Lineage: Eukaryota; Viridiplantae; Streptophyta; Magnoliopsida; Asterales; Asteraceae.
GAACCGACUGGCAAUCGUAGCUCUCAAAAGCUUCUGUCGAACUCUAACCCUGUAGAUGAACUCUAACCUUUGUCAAUGACUUGUCCAUUAGAUAAGGGAUCAUAUAUUCCUCCAUUCUAGAUAUCAUAUGGACUGAGACAUGGAUUAUAAUCAUUCUCUCUGUCCAUUUGUUGUUUCUUGGUUUCCGAUUUAUGAUGACUGACUAAUUGAACUAAUCAAAUCAGUCCUGGCCCGACCGAGCACUUCCAUUUGUCAUCAUCAAAUCAUCGAGGGGCCCACAGAUAUCGCUUUUAUCCCGAAGGUAAAAGGAAUGGAUAAACUUCGACUCAUAUGGCUUGUUCUACUACUUGUUGAAUCAUACACAAAGGCACGUUUUAUAGCACCGAGUUACCAAAUGCGUUUUCGUGCAAUCAAUGUACUAUCAACUCAUAGUAACAACUCAUAUCUCUAGGUUUGAAGAAUAUAAGAUAUUAUCGUCUCAUGAUCACUCGUGAUAAAAUCCAUGAAGUGAUUCCAAUGAGCGCGGGUUGAAUCCAAUACUCAGAACUUAUGAGCACUCAUGAGUGUUGUAGCCCUUUGUCCAACACCUUAGACCUCUACAAGCCAACCCAUGACAGUCUUAAUUCAUAUCUACUUCCAACAUAUGACCGACUGUGGAUGGUUUGAAUAACUUAGUCAUUCCGGAAGAAUAACCCAGUUUAUUCAGGAAGUCAAAACAUGCAAAGUGAAACACAAUAAUAAUUGAAUCCAAUAUGGUAUCAAAACCUAUGAACAUAAAUAAAACACCUUUUAUUUAUCACCAUAUGAUUACACAUUAUUCAUUGUAUAUUGUGUCAGCUAUCAACUUUAUUCUUGAAUUUAAAACAAUAGUUGUCCCAUGCUCCAAGCACGUACACUAUGUUUUCUAAACACUAGUCAUGCCAUCCACCAAGUAUGCAUACUAUGUUUUUCUAUGAUAUUUACUUUUUAAAAUAGAUCAAUUGAACAUAACUCCAAUAAUCCUCUCUUCACAUUUCCAAAACCUUACUGCAAAUGCAAGAAUUCCAAAUUCAUGCCAUUUACUGAAAUCUGUUAGAUUCUAAACUUAUAUGCAUUGAUCCUCUUGUAAUGAUUAUGCACAAAGUCACAAAGACUUGACAACAACCAUUACAGAGCAUUCCGAAAGAGAUCAGCUCCUUGGAAACAUCCUUCUUGCAUUAAGUUUCCAAAUAUUACAUAGAUUGAAUAAUUUCUAACUUUGAAACAUUUCCAGAUUCCAUUUUGACUAUCACUUCUGAACAAGAGUUGCCUCCUUAUAGAUGAUGUCAAUAUGGUCCUUCUAGAAUUAUCACUAUACUUCCAACUGUCCUUGAGCAACAAAUCUUUGGUAAACCUUAGAUUGUCCUCGACAAUUGUUUAAUCCUUUUAGUCAUAUCAAAUUCGAGACCUUUUCCCUUCUUAAUGCCCCAAGGAUUUGGAAAAUUUUAGAAAGGAUGAAUAUAGCACAUGUAAUCGAUCCUAUAUCUGAAGCAUAUGGGACACGAUUCAUGAUGUCUCAGAUAAAGCCUAAACUAGUCUUUUGCUAUAAUAUUUCCAUUUCAAUUUGCCAAGUUCUCAUAAUUCAGAUUAGAAAAAGGGAUGUCGUAAUCAUAAUUGAAUUUUAAAAACGCAAAUAAUGGAUCCAUAUAUAGAAUUUUUCUUAUGUUGAGCCAUUCCAACAUGAAAUUCCUAUAUAUGUCCUUGACUAAAUAUGAUUAAAACCUCAACCUAAGCUUUUAGAUUUCAAAUGAAGUAUAAUUUCCUCUCCCUUAGUUAUAGGAAAACAACUUUUUCCCAAUUGAAACUUUUGUUUUCUAUAAUUAACAUUGCUAACUUGCAAUACUUAUCAUAAUUAUCAUGCUCCCACUAACAUGAUGAUUAUUAGCAUAACACUUAUGCUCCCACUAGCUUUGACAUGUACUCAGAAAUCAGCUGGACUUCUAGGAAUCAAUACUUUAUUGACUUUCUUACCAAAGUUCAGAUUUCUGAUACUAGAUUGCUUUGAUAAAAUUUUAUCGUUAUAAAGUUCCCUAGGAACUAGGCUGGACAUGAGUAUAGCCUACCAUCCACAUACCGACGAGCAAAGUGAGAGAAUUAUCCAAACCUUGGAAGAUAUGUUGCGAGCAUGUGUGGUCAACUUUGGGAAAGCAUGGGAUACUCAUUUACCCCUUGUCGAAUUUUCCUACAACAACAAUUAUCACAUGAGCAUAAAGGCUGCUCCAUUCGAGGCCCUCUAUGGUCGAAAGUGCAGAUCCCUUCUAUGUUGGGCUGAGGUGGGUGAUACCCAGAGUUAGCUAAAGGAUGAGUUCCUAACAGCACUCUCACAGGUCCGGAGAUCAUAUGGGAAACGACGGAGAAAGUCGUUCAGAUGCGUGAGCGAUUGAAACCCUCUAGAGACCGACAUAAAAGCUACACUGAUAAACGUACGAAACCGUUGCAAUUCUAGGUGGUGACCGUCUUCUAUUGAAGGUCUCACCCUGGAAGGUCUGUCCGACGAGACUCUUGUAAUCCCCCUCGACGAGAUCGAGAUCAACGAGAGCCUCAACUUCGUGUAAGAACCAGUGGAGAUCAUGGACCAGGUUCCCUAGAAAGCAAACGAAACAAAGCCGUAUCCCGAUAGUGAAGGUUUGCUGGAACGCCAAGCGAGGACCUGAAUUCACUUGGGAGUGUGAGAAUCAGAUGAAACUGAAAUAUACUCGUCUUUUUACUUAGUUAUUUGUAACUACUUAUUUGCUUAAACUCUAAUUUCGGGACGAAAUUCCUUCUAAGGAGGGGAUGAUGUGACAACCUGAAAUUUCUAUUCUUUACGACAUUUCCAUUCAAUAGAAGUCAGAACAGUACUAUUAAUUUUCAGACUUUUUAGAAGAAGUUUGAGUAUUUUAGGAUUAACAAUUUACGAGAGAUCAGGAGAGAGGAUGCCCUAGACUUUAUUGUGCAACAAUAAAGUCCCGACACAUCAAAAUAUAGGAGUUUACGGCCUAAACAAUGGUGUUUACGGCCGUAAACUCCAAGGAAUGGGGUAUAUAAGUGACACUUAGUCAUUUAUAUCAUUUUCCACCUUUUCAAGAACAAACCUCAAACUCUCUCAAGUAUCAUCAAAGUUUUCNAUCAAAGUUUCUUCAAGAUCUUCAAUCUAGUAAGUGUUUCUAGCCCUUUCUAGUUAGUAUAUCACCUAAUCUAGUGUUUUAACACACGUCCAUCCGUGAAAAUGUUCCAAAAGGUUGUUCUUCAAGUUUCACCAAGAACACACACUAGUGUUCUUGGACUUUUGGCUCAUUUCAAGCUUCUAUAUUGUAAGUACUUCUGUCCUAGAGUAUCAUAGAGCUUAUUAUACUUCCAUAUAUCAAGAAAACACAAAGAAACACUAAGAUCAAAGUUGUUUACGGUCCAUGAACUCCGUGAACCGUAAACCCUUCUUAAGGGGAAAAAGUGACCCUAGUCCCUUCCUUCCCUUGGGAAACUAGUCUAGACACAUUCCUUAAUGUGUAUAGGACUUGAAAACAUCAAAAUACCAUGAUCCAUGAGGGUUUACGACCGUAAACCCUAAGGAAAAUGGUCUUAGGGUCGUAAACUCCUCAAAGGAGGGAAAUGGUGCCCUAACUUCUUCCUUAGGCUUAUACAUCAAGUAGAAAUGCUUCUAGGCAAUUAUAAACCUUCAAAUCAAGAAAUGGACAAAGGAGUAUGAGCUUACGAACGUAAACUCAUGGGUUUACGACCGUAAACUCAAUGAGUUGAGGUCACAAUACCGUAAACACAAGAAAGGGGUUCUUUUGAACCCUAAACCCAAUAGCUUUGUCCUACAACACUUAGAUGCAAUCCUGGGACUUAUAACACUUAUAUAAAGUGUUUAACUUGUCUUAGGAUGUUAUAACUUUGUAAAUUAGUUGUUUAAAGACUAAUUGGAUACAUAUAUGUGCGUUUAUAUGUUAACUAGGAUCAUUGUGUGUGUAUAAGUCUUCACUUGACACCUAACAAUCCUAUAUCUUCAGUUCAUCCAAAUCGCUCACUACAGGUGAGUUCAUACCCCUUAAAUUGACCUUUUAAUGUUUUUAAAUUCUUUUAUGGGGGGAUACAAGUUGAAUACUUAUAGUUAUUAUAUCAAUCACAUGUGAUUAAUAGCUACCAAACAAGUGGUUUUCUUACUUUUCAAACUGUGUUAUCAAACUGUUUUGCUUCAAACUAUUUUACAAACUCCUCUGUUGUCAAAUAAUUUAACUUCAACUCUUUUCAUACUUUUAUAUUUUCAAACACAUGCCUUUGUAUGUAUAGUUAUAUAAGUAAUUUUUAAAGGAUUUAGGAUGGCUAGCUCGCAUUAUCUCCUUUUCCUUGUUAAGAUGUGGCGUUAGGGCAUCGGGUAUCCGUCCGAAGGUCGUCUAAAUAUUAGUUAUAUAUUAUGUAUACAUAUAUAGACAUAAAAGUUCCACCAUCCAAUUCAAUACUCUUGAGUAGCAAGGGUAUACAUUGAUGAUCAUUAUGUACAAGUCAUAUUACUAGUAAACUACGAUAGGCAUAGUUUAGGAAGAUACUAAUGCUAUUACAAGAACGAAGAAUCAUACAAUUAGUCGGUUCAUUCAUGAGUUAAUACUUGCUAGAUAGAGAGAGAGCACAAUACAGCUAGUACACACAGUAAAUUACUAUACAUGCUAGAUAGAGAAAUAACACACAUUACAGCUAGUACACGCAGAACUUGACAAUACAUACAGGCUAGACAGAGAAAGAACACACAAUACAGCUAGGACAUACAUUACAUAUACAUUCAUGCAGUUAUUGUUGGUUUUUGAGCACUCUAACACUCCUAAGUGUACAUGCAACCCUAAAUACCUUGGAUCUAUGUUUUCUCUAUUAUACAUGCAAAUAUGAACUUUCGAAGGUAUUCAUCCUAACUAGCAUAAUAAUAUGAUUCAUAUGAAUAUAUAUCAAUUUACAAUUACAUACCUCUUUAAUGUAGAAAGUAUUCAUGAAGCUUGACUUCCUAGUACCCCAAGUGUGACACCUCAAAUGGUUCACACAACACCAGAUACACUUGGAAUAACUUGAGAGAAACUUGUACACUCCUUGAAAUCGUCUAGCCCUCACACUCACACAUAGUGCACGAGUUAUUGAACCAUGGUAUUCUUUUAUAUGGUGGUUGUUAGGGUUACACCAUGUAACUCAUGACUUUACCUAUUCCUUAUGCUCCAUGGAUUUUAACCUCCAUGGAGUAUCCAUGGGUCACCCCAUGCACUUAGUCCAACACAAGGAAUCUUGGAUCACAAGCCCACAUAUAUAAUAAUGAAUGAUUUACACAAUCAACCCAUAUAUUUAAUUACUCUCCUUUUGAUCACUUAAUUAAUUCCAAAUUAAUUCUUGAUCAAUACCAAUUAAAUAACCUUAUUAAUAUAUUAGAACUUAUAAUAUAUUAACAAACCUUAAGUGUUAUUUCUCUCAUUUUAGUCUAUCCAAAUGCAUGAUGCCAUGCAACCCAAAUGGACCAUGUCGGGUCGGGUCAAGUCUUACCAAUUAUAGUUAUGGACAUAGACAUUAAUCCAACAGUCUCCCACUUGGAUAAGUCUAAAACUAUUACUGCGUAUGACUUCAAGAACCGACUGGCAAUCGUAGCUCUCAAAAGCUUCUGUCGAACUCUGACCUUGUAGAUGAACUCUGACCUUUGUCAAUGACUUGUCCAUUAGAUAAGGGAUCAUAUAUUCCUCCAUUCUAGAUAUCAUAUGGACUGAGACAUGGAUUAUAAUCAUUCUCUCUGUCCAUUUGUUGUUUCCCGAUUUCCGAUUUAUGACGACUGACUAAUUGAACAAAUCAAAUCAGUCCUGGCCCGGCCGAGCACUUCCAUUUGUCAUCAUCAAAUCAUCGAGGGGCCCACAGAUAUCGCUUUUAUCCCGAAGGUAAAAGGAACGGAUAAACUUCGACUCAUAUGGCUUGUUCUACUACUUGUUGAAUCAUACACAAAGGCACGUUUUAUAGCACCGAGUUACCAAAUGCGUUUUCGUGCAAUCAAUGUACAACCAACUCAUAGUAACAACUCAUAUCUCUAGGUUUGAAGAAUAUAAGAUAUUAUCGUCUCAUGAUCACUCGUGAUAAAAUCCAUGAAGUGAUUCCAAUGAGCGCGGGUUGAAUCCAAUACUCAGAACUUAUGAGC